CUCCGAUGAAACCUGCGGCGGAGGAAACAUGGCGGAGGAGACAUGAAAUCAGCGGUGGAAAAAACAUGAAAUCCACGCGAUUUGUUGGGAUCUUGCUGGGACCAGGCCUUCAAUCUCGGCGAAGCUUGAUGAUUCAAGUAAUUGAUGCAAAUGGCUUGUGGGUAUUAGUGUAUUAGGCAUGCGUCAACAACAGCUCUUGAAAUUGCGCCAGACAUUGUCAUCAUGAACAAAAAAAAUUGUUUUGAUUCUUAAUUCGUGAAGAUCAAUAAACUUUGAUGUGGGUUCAUUCGUUUGAGAGAAAGCAAAAGGAGUUUUUGCAAUUGUGGUGCCUCACCUUUUGGUUAUUCACGUUUCACCCCAAGAUUAUUAAAAUAUGAAGAAUGGUUCUUUUGA
Long non-coding RNA from Brassica oleracea var. oleracea, 393 nucleotides. RefSeq lists it as uncharacterized. The record is from RefSeq and is a predicted model, not a curated record. The transcript has 2 exons. Lineage: Eukaryota; Viridiplantae; Streptophyta; Magnoliopsida; Brassicales; Brassicaceae.